This 255-nucleotide ribosomal RNA is filed under the name uncultured bacterium. RNAcentral describes it as "partial 16S ribosomal RNA". It matches the Rfam family "Bacterial small subunit ribosomal RNA", at positions 524 to 776 of the family's 1533-position model. The record is from RNAcentral.
UACAGAGGGUGCAAGCGUUUGUUCGGAAUUAUUGGGCGUAAAGGGCUCGUAGGCGGUCUGUUGCGUCGGGAGUGAAAAUUCACAGCUUAACUGUGAACUUGCUUCCGAUACGGGCAGACUUGAGGGUAUUCAGGGGAGAACGGAAUUCCUGGUGUAGCGGUGAAAUGCGUAGAUAUUGGGAGGAACACCAGUGGCGAAGGCGGCUCACUGGACCGGUACUGACGCUGAUGCGCGAAAGCGUGGGGAGCAAACGGG